AUCGCUUCUUGGCCUUUUGGCUAAGACCAGUGUAGUUAGUAUCUGUUCUUAUCCAUUUAAUAUCUGAUACAUCCUCUAUCUGAGGACAAUAUAUUAAAUGGAUUUUUAGAAGUCUGAAUUGGAACAGAAGCUUGCUCCAUCCACUCCACAAGUUGACCUGGUAUUGCAGUAUCUCCAGAAAUGGUACAACCCUU
Small nuclear RNA from Peromyscus californicus insignis, 194 nucleotides. RefSeq annotates it as U2 spliceosomal RNA. The record is from RefSeq and is a predicted model, not a curated record. Lineage: Eukaryota; Metazoa; Chordata; Mammalia; Rodentia; Cricetidae. The transcript has a single exon.